CGAAGGUGGCAAGCGUUGUUCGGAUUCACUGGGCGUACAGGGUGUGUAGGCGGUUUGGUAAGCCUUCUGUUAAAGCUUCGGGCCCAACCCGGAAAGCGCAGAGGGUACUGCCAGGCUAGAGGGCGGGAGAGGAGCGCGGAAUUCCCGGUGUAGCGGUGAAGUGCGUAGAGAUCGGGAGGAAGGCCGGUGGCGAAGGCGGCGCUCUGGAACGUACCUGACGCUGAGACACGAAAGCGUGGGGAGCAAACAGGAUUAGAUACCCUGGUAGUCCACGCCCUAAACUAUGGAUACUAAGUGUCGGCGGGUUACCGCCGGUGCCGCAGCUAACGCAUUAAGUAUCCCGCCUGGGAAGUACGGCCGCAAGGUUG
This 368-nucleotide ribosomal RNA is filed under the name uncultured organism. Its description in RNAcentral is "bacterial SSU rRNA". It matches the Rfam family "Bacterial small subunit ribosomal RNA", at positions 526 to 896 of the family's 1533-position model. The record is from RNAcentral.